This 660-nucleotide ribosomal RNA is filed under the name Pseudomonas sp. AR-356. Its description in RNAcentral is "bacterial SSU rRNA". It matches the Rfam family "Bacterial small subunit ribosomal RNA", at positions 94 to 750 of the family's 1533-position model. The record is from RNAcentral. Lineage: Bacteria; Pseudomonadati; Pseudomonadota; Gammaproteobacteria; Pseudomonadales; Pseudomonadaceae.
AGCGGCGGACGGGUGAGUAAUGCCUAGGAAUCUGCCUGGUAGUGGGGGACAACGUUUCGAAAGGAACGCUAAUACCGCAUACGUCCUACGGGAGAAAGCAGGGGACCUUCGGGCCUUGCGCUAUCAGAUGAGCCUAGGUCGGAUUAGCUAGUUGGUGAGGUAAUGGCUCACCAAGGCGACGAUCCGUAACUGGUCUGAGAGGAUGAUCAGUCACACUGGAACUGAGACACGGUCCAGACUCCUACGGGAGGCAGCAGUGGGGAAUAUUGGACAAUGGGCGAAAGCCUGAUCCAGCCAUGCCGCGUGUGUGAAGAAGGUCUUCGGAUUGUAAAGCACUUUAAGUUGGGAGGAAGGGCAGUAAGUUAAUACCUUGCUGUUUUGACGUUACCGACAGAAUAAGCACCGGCUAACUCUGUGCCAGCAGCCGCGGUAAUACAGAGGGUGCAAGCGUUAAUCGGAAUUACUGGGCGUAAAGCGCGCGUAGGUGGUUCGUUAAGUUGGAUGUGAAAGCCCCGGGCUCAACCUGGGAACUGCAUCCAAAACUGGCGAGCUAGAGUAUGGUAGAGGGUGGUGGAAUUUCCUGUGUAGCGGUGAAAUGCGUAGAUAUAGGAAGGAACACCAGUGGCGAAGGCGACCACCUGGACUGAUACUGACACUGAG